Molecule: ribosomal RNA, 492 nt
Filed under: uncultured bacterium
Lineage: Bacteria
Description: partial 16S ribosomal RNA
Rfam family: Bacterial small subunit ribosomal RNA
Source: RNAcentral
AGUGAACGCUGGCGGUAGGCCUAACACAUGCAAGUCGAACGGCAGCACAGUAAGAGCUUGCUCUUACGGGUGGCGAGUGGCGGACGGGUGAGGAAUACAUCGGAAUCUACUUUUUCGUGGGGGAUAACGUAGGGAAACUUACGCUAAUUCCGCAUACGACCUACGGGUGAAAGCAGGGGAUCUUCGGACCUUGCGCGAUUGAAUGAGCCGAUGUCGGAUUAGCUAGUUGGCGGGGUAAAGGCCCACCAAGGCGACGAUCCGUAGCUGGUCUGAGAGGAUGAUCAGCCACACUGGAACUGAGACACGGUCCAGACUCCUACGGGAGGCAGCAGUGGGGAAUAUUGGACAAUGGGCGCAAGCCUGAUCCAGCCAUACCGCGUGGGUGAAGAAGGCCUUCGGGUUGUAAAGCCCUUUUGUUGGGAAAGAAAAGCAGCAGGUUAAUACCCCGCUGCUCUGACGGCACCCAAAGAAUAAGCACCGGCUAACUUCGUG